This 112-nucleotide small RNA is filed under the name Soonwooa buanensis. RNAcentral's name for it is "Flavo-1 RNA". It matches the Rfam family "Flavo-1 RNA". Lineage: Bacteria; Pseudomonadati; Bacteroidota; Flavobacteriia; Flavobacteriales; Weeksellaceae. The record is from Rfam by way of RNAcentral.
AUUUUGCGUUAGGGAUGGAAGCGGUAUCCUUUGGGGUUGGAUUGAGGCGGCGGAGCGUAGCGGAGCCGUCCGAGCGACAAACCUAAAGAUAGAGCGGACAGCCCGACUUUUU